AUGGUGAGCAGUUGAUGCUCAUCACAUUAUAUGGUUUAUACAUAUAAUCAUAAGUAGAUAUCAUUAAUGCUCAAUUAUAGUGUUGAGUCAUAUUACCUACAUCGUAAUUUGUUGCCAUCGUGCACUUGGCUGCGAUACCCAAUUGAUAAAUGUGUGAAAUAUUGCCAAGGUAUAUUGAGUUUUAAUCAAUAUAUACUAAUUAGUUUCCAUUUAUCGUGAAGUCUCAGAUUAUUUAUUUAACCGAACUCGAUGGAAAGGUAUAAGGUACAUCGAGAAAAAUGUAGCUGUUUAUGUUUUGUAAAAAACAUAUUUAUGUUGCAUUUUAUUUAUGGUAUGUUUUUCUUAAUAUAUUAUCACACUAAUAUGUAUGUUGAAAUUGUUCAUAUGUAUUAGCCUAUACAAGUAGAUAAAUUAUAUAGUUAUCAUCAAAACAAAAGUGCUCAUUCCGGUAUAUGGAAUUGAACACUGUGUGAUAUAAUAUUAAGUUAAGCGAUCAUAAAAAAAUAUUUUUGAACGAAUUAUGUAUAAUUGUAUAGAUAUAAAAUAGUUAUAAUAAUAUAAAUAUGUCAAUAUAAAAUUAACGAACAUGAACGCCAUAUAAAGAUGGCCAUAUUCGUUUGAUGCAUAUCUAUUUAUAUAUAUUUUAUUCAAAAAUAUAUUAAAAUGUCAUGUUAAUUAAAUUUGUAUAUAUAAAAACUUAUACGUAUAUGUAUAAGUAAAAACAAAAAAAUAACAUUAUUCUGGUUGAUCCUGCCAGUAGUUAUAUGCUUGUCUCAAAGAUUAAGCCAUGCAUGUCUAAGUACACACGAAUUAAAAGUGAAACCGCAAAAGGCUCAUUAUAUCAGUUAUGGUUCCUUAGAUCGUUAACAGUUACUUGGAUAACUGUGGUAAUUCUAGAGCUAAUACAUGCAAUUAAAACACGGACCUUUUGGAACGUGUGCUUUUAUUAGGCUAAAACCAAGCGAUCGCUAGAUCGUUACAUUGGUUGAACUCUAGAUAACAUGCAGAUCGUAUGGUCUUGUACCGACGACAGAUCU
RNAcentral lists this unclassified non-coding RNA (1037 nucleotides) under Drosophila hydei. RNAcentral describes it as "partial Dhyd\u0008b". The stretch from base 738 to 1037 matches the Rfam family "Eukaryotic small subunit ribosomal RNA", at positions 1 to 297 of the family's 1831-position model. The record is from RNAcentral. Lineage: Eukaryota; Metazoa; Arthropoda; Insecta; Diptera; Drosophilidae.